GACGAACGCUGGCGGCGUGCUUAACACAUGCAAGUCGAACGGAGUGGCGAACGGGUGAGUAACACGUGGGUGACCUGCCCUGCACUUCGGGAUAAGCCUGGGAAACUGGGUCUAAUACCGGAUAGUGUGGGAUGGGCCCGAGGCAUGUCAGCUUGUUGGUGGGGUAAUGGCCUACCAAGGCGGGGAAGGGUAGCCGGCCUGCGAGGGUGGACGGCCACAUUGGGAAUGAGACCCAGCCCCGACUCCUACGGGAGGCAGCAGUGGGGAAUAUUGCACAAUUGGCGGAAGCCUGAUGCAGCGACGCCGCGUGGGGGAGGACGGCCUUCGGGUUGUAAACCCCUUUCACCAUCGACGCGGUAGAUGGAGAAGAAGCACCGGCUAACUACGUGCCAGCCGCCGCGGUAAUAC
This 408-nucleotide ribosomal RNA is filed under the name uncultured bacterium. RNAcentral's name for it is "partial 16S ribosomal RNA". It matches the Rfam family "Bacterial small subunit ribosomal RNA", at positions 28 to 526 of the family's 1533-position model. The record is from RNAcentral.